Molecule: long non-coding RNA, 1563 nt
Organism: Ctenopharyngodon idella (grass carp)
Lineage: Eukaryota; Metazoa; Chordata; Actinopteri; Cypriniformes; Xenocyprididae
Exons: 2
Source: RefSeq, a predicted model, not a curated record
GCGCCUGUUGUUGUUGUAAUACAUGAGAGUGAGUGUUGUGGGUUAGUACGACAUAUUCCUAUUAGAUUCAGGUUCAAAUAAGAAUCAAUUAUAAAUAGGUCCUUAUGACCCUUUUUAGCUUAGUCGUGGAUGCAGCAAACUGAACUAGACCACAAUAAAUUAUUACAGUAGUAUUAACACCCUUACAUUUAAUCAUUUAGAAGACGCUUUUGUUCAAAACGACUUACAAAUGAGGAAAGCAAUAGAAGCAAACAAUAUCUAACCCUUAAUAAUAAUAAAAUACAAAAUAAAGCCUACAGCAAUAUGUGCCUAUAUAUAGCUUUAUGGUUUUAGAGCAUGACAUUUUCAGGGAUCACGCGAAAACCUAAAAGAAUGGCUGAAAUGGGACUUCCCAACACUACUGUUUUAAAAUGUAAAACUUGGUGCUGGUGAAUGAGCCAUGCACAGUUCCACGUGCCUCAGAGGCAGGCUGUUGGUGACGUCAAGCAGCUUCCUCAACGCCCUUCAGACUCACGCGGCUUGUGGUGUGGCUCGCUGUUUCUGUAUGGAUGAAUUUAUCAUCGUCGUCAGAAAAGCGUCAUAAACAGGCUUGACCUCCAUUUACCCGAUUGGUAAAAUUGGGCCACCCGCUUGCCAAAUUUCUGUAAAGUACAGUUUGAAGUUAGGCUGCAUUAAGUAGCCCACAUUUAGCAGUAAUACCCUGCAGGAAGCCAAAACAGUGGAUGGAGAAGCGUCUUGCUUUUCUCUUAGUGUUUCGGGAAAAGACUCGAAGCAUCAGGAGUCGAAAACAGUGUCAUCUUGUGCUUCCCUGAGUAGUAGCUCUCUGGCAAGGUCAGCCCUCCCUGCGCGGGUCAAGCAGUGGGCCAGUAUGGGGCAUUUCGGAGACGAGGAAGGAAGGCCCCGCCUCCAUGCUGUUAGAAUGUGAAAGGCCUGUUGUGAGAGGCUGUAUGGUGCACGGAGUCGAGCAAUCUGGACAGCAGAGCGACGGAGAUGGAGGGACAUAACGAGAAGUGCUGCAUCGUCUUCAGUGAGCUCAUCACAGAGCCAUGAUAACAGCUCAUCCGAGGGAGGGUCUGGAGGACAAACACUGUUAGCAUGUGUGCGUCCACAGGUGCACAGAACAUUUCUGACAUUCUGUCAUUUUUAAAUGACAGAAACUGAGAAGGAUGAAAAUCUGAGAGAACUUAGCAAACCAAACAAACAAACGAAAAAACAGGCCAAAAUGGAGGAAAAUAGAAGAGAGAGCUGGAGUGCACAAAAUAAACAAAUGGUGAAGUAGAUUUCACAUACCUGUUUGACUGUGCUGUAUUACUUUCACACUCACAGGCUGACAGACUGUUCUUGCACUCUAAGUAACAAACACACAACAGUGACUUACAAACCAUUUUAAAAAGUGAUUAUUUUUUGUUUACCAAUACAAAUAUCUAAAAAUUAUUCAGGGAUUCAUUUACUUGAGAAGUCUUAGUUUCUGACAAAUGUUUAAAAAUUUAGUUUAUGCUUAAAAAAGAAAUAAUAUCUGGCAAUGGGGUAAGAAAAAUAAAGUUGUUUUCACCUUGAAUUACA